Long non-coding RNA from Rhododendron vialii, 315 nucleotides. RefSeq lists it as uncharacterized. Lineage: Eukaryota; Viridiplantae; Streptophyta; Magnoliopsida; Ericales; Ericaceae. The record is from RefSeq and is a predicted model, not a curated record. The transcript is spliced from 2 exons.
CACGCACUUGCACACGCACAAGCACCGUAUUUAUUAACACAAAAAACAGUGCGAAUAAACUCAACAAUCUCAAGAAAGCCAACCUUUGAUUUCAUGUGCUCAGUUGUGCAGAUUAGCUCCUGCUUACAAAAAAAUUGACAGAAGUAGUUGCAACUUGAAGAUUCAGCCUCCUUCAAGUAUCUAGAAAACAAAUGGAACCAAAGCCUUGACCUCCCCAGGGAAGUUUUCAAAUUUAGAAAGAUACCAUUUUCUGGUGACGAAACUCCUUCCGGCCAAGUACAAAGCCACGCCCAAUGCGCAUGACAGUGACAACGC